AAGCUGGAAUCGCUAGUAAUCGCGGAUCGGCACGCCGCGGUGAAUACGUUCCCGGGCCUUGUACACACCGCCCGUCACACCAUGAGAGUCUGUAACACCCAAAGCCGGUGGGAUAACCUUUAUAGGAGUCAGCCGUCUAAGGUAGGACAGAUGAUUAGGGUGAAGUCGUAACAAGGUAUC
This 180-nucleotide ribosomal RNA is filed under the name uncultured bacterium. Its description in RNAcentral is "partial 16S ribosomal RNA". It matches the Rfam family "Bacterial small subunit ribosomal RNA", at positions 1323 to 1500 of the family's 1533-position model. The record is from RNAcentral.